This 345-nucleotide ribosomal RNA is filed under the name uncultured bacterium. Its description in RNAcentral is "bacterial SSU rRNA". It matches the Rfam family "Bacterial small subunit ribosomal RNA", at positions 1 to 334 of the family's 1533-position model. The record is from RNAcentral.
CUAGCGACUUCAGAGUUUGAUCCUGGCUCAGGAUGAACGCUAGCGACAGGCUUAACACAUGCAAGUCGAGGGGCAGCAUGAAUUUACUUCGGUAAAUUUGAUGGCGACCGGCGCACGGGUGCGUAACGCGUAUGCAACCUACCCAUAACUCGGGGAUAGCCCAUGGAAACGUGGAUUAAUACCCGAUGGUCUAUUGCAACUGCAUGGUUUCAAUAGUAAAGAAUUUCGGUUAUGGAUGGGCAUGCGUUCCAUUAGGUAGUAGGUGAGGUAACGGCUCACCUAGCCCAUGAUGGAUAGGGGUUCUGAGAGGAAGGUCCCCCACAUUGGAACUGAGACACGGUCCAA